GAUGAACGCUGGCGGCGUGCCUAAUACAUGCAAGUCGAGCGAACAGACGAGGAGCUUGCUCCUCUGACGUUAGCGGCGGACGGGUGAGUAACACGUGGAUAACCUACCUAUAAGACUGGGAUAACUUCGGGAAACCGGAGCUAAUACCGGAUAAUAUAUUGAACCGCAUGGUUCAAUAGUGAAAGACGGUUUUGCUGUCACUUAUAGAUGGAUCCGCGCGUGAUUAGCUAGUUGGUAAGGUAGCGGCUUACCAAGGCAACGCUGGGUAGCCGGCCUGGGAGGGUGAACGGGCACAAUGGGCCUGCGAUACGGACCAGACUCCUACCGGAGGCAGUAGUGGGGAAUCUUGCGCAGUGGCGCGGAGCCUGAUGCAGAAACGCCGCGUGCGGGAUGCCGGCCUUCGGGUUGUAAACAGCUUUGGAAUGUGCUGAAGAGUGAGUGACGGUAUUGGGUCAGGAAGCCACGGCUAACUACGUG
Molecule: ribosomal RNA, 477 nt
Filed under: uncultured bacterium
Lineage: Bacteria
Description: partial 16S ribosomal RNA
Rfam family: Bacterial small subunit ribosomal RNA
Source: RNAcentral